Molecule: small nucleolar RNA, 84 nt
Organism: Arabidopsis lyrata subsp. lyrata
Lineage: Eukaryota; Viridiplantae; Streptophyta; Magnoliopsida; Brassicales; Brassicaceae
Rfam family: Small nucleolar RNA R21
About the family: snoR21 is a member of the C/D class of snoRNA which contain the C (UGAUGA) and D (CUGA) box motifs. Most of the members of the box C/D family function in directing site-specific 2'-O-methylation of substrate RNAs.
Source: Rfam
GUGCCCUGUGAUGACUGAUAAAAUAUUUAUGGUUAAAAGUAGUGUCUGAUAUCUUAUUGAUGAAUAUUUCAAAUCUGAGGGCUU